This 113-nucleotide ribosomal RNA is filed under the name Fodinibius salicampi. The record is from RNAcentral. Lineage: Bacteria; Pseudomonadati; Balneolota; Balneolia; Balneolales; Balneolaceae.
GCAGGCGGGCAUAGCGCAGGGGCCCCACCCGUUCCCAUCCCGAACACGGACGUGACCCUCUGCAGCGCCGAUGGUACUGGCCGACCGGCCGGGAGCGUAGGUCCCCGACUGCU